RNAcentral lists this ribosomal RNA (253 nucleotides) under uncultured bacterium. RNAcentral's name for it is "partial 16S ribosomal RNA". It matches the Rfam family "Bacterial small subunit ribosomal RNA", at positions 524 to 776 of the family's 1533-position model. The record is from RNAcentral.
UACGUAGGGUGCAGGCGUUAAUCGGAAUUACUGGGCGUAAAGCGUGCGCAGGCGGUUUCUUAAGUUAGAUGUGAAAGCCCCGGGCUUAACCUGGGAACUGCGUUUGAAACUGGGAGACUUGAGUGUGGCAGAGGGGGGUGGAAUUCCACGUGUAGCAGUGAAAUGCGUAGAUAUGUGGAGGAACACCAAUGGCGAAGGCAGCCCCCUGGGUCAACACUGACGCUCAUGCACGAAAGCGUGGGGAGCAAACAGG